Molecule: ribosomal RNA, 301 nt
Filed under: uncultured bacterium
Lineage: Bacteria
Description: partial 16S ribosomal RNA
Rfam family: Bacterial small subunit ribosomal RNA
Source: RNAcentral
CAGCCGCCGCGGUAAUACGAAGGGGGCUAGCGUUGUUCGGAUUUACUGGGCGUAAAGCGCACGUAGGCGGAUCGAUCAGUCAGGGGUGAAAUCCCAAGGCUCAACCUUGGAACUGCCUUUGAUACUGGAAGUCUUGAGUCCGGGAGAGGUGAGUGGAACUGCGAGUGUAGAGGUGAAAUUCGUAGAUAUUCGCAAGAACACCAGUGGCGAAGGCGGCUCACUGGCCCGGUACUGACGCUGAGGCGCGAAAGCGUGGGGAGCAAACAGGAUUAGAUACCCCAGUAGUCCCUGUCUCUUAUAC